GAAUUCGCCCUUAGAGUUUGAUUCUGGCUCAGGACGAACGCUGGCGGCGUGCCUAACACAUGCAAGUCGAACGGAAGUAUUGCUUCGGUGAUACUUUAGUGGCGAACGGGUGAGUAACGCGUGAGAAACCUGCCUUUCAGUGGGGGACAACAGUUGGAAACGACUGCUAAUACCGCAUAAUGUCAUUUGGGGGCAUCCCUGGAUGACCAAAGAUUUAUUGCUGAAAGAUGGUCUCGCGUCUGAUUAGCUAGAUGGCGGGGUAACGGCCCACCAUGGCGACGAUCAGUAGCCGGUCUGAGAGGAUGAACGGCCACAUUGGGACUGAGAUACGGCCCAGACUCCUACGGGAGGCAGCAGUGGGGAAUAUUGGGCAAUGGGGGAAACCCUGACCCAGCAACGCCGCGUGAAGGAAGAAGGCCUUCGGGUUGUAAACUUCUUUUACCAGGGACGAAGAACGUGACGGUACCUGGAGAAAAAGCAACGGCUAACUACGUGCCAGCAGCCGCGGUAAUACGUAGGUUGCAAGCGUUGUCCGGAUUUACUGGGUGUAAAGGGCGUGUAGGCGGAGCUGCAAGUCAGAUGUGAAAUCCCGGGGCUCAACCCCGGAACUGCAUUUGAAACUGUAGCCCUUGAGUAUCGGAGAGGCAAGCGGAAUUCCUAGUGUAGCGGUGAAAUGCGUAGAUAUUAGGAGGAACACCAGUGGCGAAGGCGGCUUUCUGGACUGUAACUGACACUGAGGCACGAAAGUGUGGGGAGCAAACAGGAUUAGAUACCCUGGUAGUCCACACCGUAAACGAUGAGCACUAGGUGUCGGGGUCGAAGGACUUCGGUGCCGCAGUUAACGCAUUAAGUGCUCCGCCUGGGGAGUACGUACGCAAGUAUGAAACUCAAAGGAAUUGACGGGGACCCGCACAAGCAGCGGAGCAUGUGGUUUAAUUCGAAGCAACGCGAAGAACCUUACCAGGACUUGACAUCCUUCUGAAAACCCCUUAAUCGGGGUCCUCCUUCGGGACAGAAGUGACAGGUGGUGCAUGGUUGUCGUCAGCUCGUGUCGUGAGAUGUUGGGUUAAGUCCCGCAACGAGCGCAACCCUUGUCUUCAGUUACCAGCAUGUAAUGAUGGGAACUCUGGAGAGACUGCCGGUGAUAAAUCGGAGGAAGGUGGGGACGACGUCAAAUCAUCAUGCCCUUUAUGUCCUGGGCUACACACGUACUACAAUGGCUAUAACAAAGAGAAGCGAAACAGCGAUGUGGAGCAAAACUCAAAAAAGUAGUCUCAGUUCGGAUUGUAGGCUGAAAUUCGCCUACAUGAAGCUGGAAUUGCUAGUAAUGGCAGGUCAGCAUACUGCCGUGAAUACGAUCCCGGGCCUUGCACACACCGCCCGUCA
This 1386-nucleotide ribosomal RNA is filed under the name uncultured bacterium. RNAcentral describes it as "bacterial SSU rRNA". It matches the Rfam family "Bacterial small subunit ribosomal RNA". The record is from RNAcentral.